RNAcentral lists this ribosomal RNA (497 nucleotides) under uncultured Glomeromycotina. RNAcentral's name for it is "partial small subunit ribosomal RNA". It matches the Rfam family "Eukaryotic small subunit ribosomal RNA", at positions 591 to 1091 of the family's 1831-position model. The record is from RNAcentral. Lineage: Eukaryota; Fungi; Glomeromycota.
CCAAUAGCGUAUAUUAAAGUUGUUGCAGUUAAAAAGCUCGUAGUUGAAUUUCGGGAUCAAUAUGUUGGUCGUGCCUUGGUACGUACUAUCUUAUUGGUUUCUCCCUUCUGACGAACCAUGAUGUCAUUAAUUUGAUGUCUUGGGGAAUCAGGACUGUUACUUUGAAAAAAUUAGAGUGUUUAAAGCAGGCUCACGCUUGAAUAUAUUAGCAUGGAAUAAUGAAAUAGGACGUUUGAUUCUAUUUUGUUGGUUUCUAGGAUCGAUGUAAUGAUUAAUAGGGAUAGUUGGGGGCAUUAGUAUUCAAUUGUCAGAGGUGAAAUUCUUGGAUUUAUUGAAGACUAACUACUGCGAAAGCAUUUGCCAAGGAUGUUUUCAUUAAUCAAGAACGAAAGUUAGGGGAUCGAAGACGAUCAGAUACCGUCGUAGUCUUAACCAUAAACUAUGCCGACUAGGGAUCGGAUGAUGUUAAUUUUUUAAUGACUCAUUCGGCGCCUUAC